RNAcentral lists this long non-coding RNA (562 nucleotides) under Apteryx owenii (little spotted kiwi). Its description in RNAcentral is "lncRNA (ENSAOWG00000013541.1)". Lineage: Eukaryota; Metazoa; Chordata; Aves; Apterygiformes; Apterygidae. The record is from RNAcentral.
AUGUUCAUGAAGAAAACUGAGUUCUGGAACUAUAUUUUGUGCAAGAAAAAGACAAAACAAAAAAUCCUUAAAGUUCUCUCAACCAUCUCUUGCAAAGGCAAGUUCACCGACCAUUUUUCAGUAACUUUGGAGUCCUAGGAAUGUACUUUCUUCAAAUGAUCAGCUGGAAAAAAAAGACUUUAGUUUGAAGUCAGACUCUGGCAUGCUCGAAUACCAUAUGCCUGCACUAUUGAGAGACUGGAGCAGAGUAUCUGGAGAGAGAUGAGAGAGUGUGGGUGGCAAUAGAAAAAACAACCACGACUGUAAGUUAGCAAGAUAAUAUCCUUACUUUCUUCUGUGGGUCUCAAGAGUGAUUAAAAAAACAUUGGUGUUUUAAAAAUAUUGCUGAAGACUACAGUGUGACUCAUAAUGCUUCAGAGAAUGGAAUUCUUGGAAGUUUCACUGUAAUGCCAGAUCCUAGAACGGAGGGCAGCAGAGCUGCAGAGAAGUAACACAAGGUUAUGUUGACGGAGAAAGAACAUCUCUGAGGGAAAGCAGGCAGGACAGAAAGAAAGAAAGAAAA